This 940-nucleotide ribosomal RNA is filed under the name Escherichia coli. RNAcentral's name for it is "partial 23S ribosomal RNA". It matches the Rfam family "Bacterial large subunit ribosomal RNA", at positions 251 to 1230 of the family's 2925-position model. The record is from RNAcentral. Lineage: Bacteria; Pseudomonadati; Pseudomonadota; Gammaproteobacteria; Enterobacterales; Enterobacteriaceae.
GAGCGAACGGGGAGGAGCCCAGAGCCUGAAUCAGUGUGUGUGUUAGUGGAAGCGUCUGGAAAGGCGCGCGAUACAGGGUGACAGCCCCGUACACAAAAAUGCACAUGCUGUGAGCUCGAUGAGUAGGGCGGGACACGUGGUAUCCUGUCUGAAUAUGGGGGGACCAUCCUCCAAGGCUAAAUACUCCUGACUGACCGAUAGUGAACCAGUACCGUGAGGGAAAGGCGAAAAGAACCCCGGCGAGGGGAGUGAAAAAGAACCUGAAACCGUGUACGUACAAGCAGUGGGAGCACGCUUAGGCGUGUGACUGCGUACCUUUUGUAUAAUGGGUCAGCGACUUAUAUUCUGUAGCAAGGUUAACCGAAUAGGGGAGCCGAAGGGAAACCGAGUCUUAACUGGGCGUUAAGUUGCAGGGUAUAGACCCGAAACCCGGUGAUCUAGCCAUGGGCAGGUUGAAGGUUGGGUAACACUAACUGGAGGACCGAACCGACUAAUGUUGAAAAAUUAGCGGAUGACUUGUGGCUGGGGGUGAAAGGCCAAUCAAACCGGGAGAUAGCUGGUUCUCCCCGAAAGCUAUUUAGGUAGCGCCUCGUGAAUUCAUCUCCGGGGGUAGAGCACUGUUUCGGCAAGGGGGUCAUCCCGACUUACCAACCCGAUGCAAACUGCGAAUACCGGAGAAUGUUAUCACGGGAGACACACGGCGGGUGCUAACGUCCGUCGUGAAGAGGGAAACAACCCAGACCGCCAGCUAAGGUCCCAAAGUCAUGGUUAAGUGGGAAACGAUGUGGGAAGGCCCAGACAGCCAGGAUGUUGGCUUAGAAGCAGCCAUCAUUUAAAGAAAGCGUAAUAGCUCACUGGUCGAGUCGGCCUGCGCGGAAGAUGUAACGGGGCUAAACCAUGCACCGAAGCUGCGGCAGCGACGCUUAUGCGUUGUUGGGUA